RNAcentral lists this unclassified non-coding RNA (351 nucleotides) under soil metagenome. Its description in RNAcentral is "partial contains 5.8S ribosomal RNA, internal transcribed spacer 2, and large subunit ribosomal RNA". The stretch from base 1 to 120 matches the Rfam family "5.8S ribosomal RNA", at positions 35 to 154 of the family's 154-position model. The record is from RNAcentral.
GAUGAAGAACGUAGCGAAAUGCGAUAAGUAAUGUGAAUUGCAGAAUUCAGUGAAUCAUCGAAUCUUUGAACGCACAUUGCGCCCGCGAGUAUUCUCGCGGGCAUGCCUGUCCGAGCGUCAUUUCAUCCCUCAGGGCCCGCCUGCUUGCAGGCGCGGCGCUGGUGUUGGGGAUCGGCUACCCUGCCGUCCCCCAAAUACAGUGGCGGUCUCGCUGCAGCCUCCCCUGCGUAGUAGCAACACUCGCAUGCGGAGCGCGGCGCGGCCACGCCGUAAAACCCCCGACUUUCUGAACGUUGACCUCGGAUCAGGUAGGAAUACCCGCUGAACUUAAGCAUAUCAAUAAGCGGAGGA